AUUGAACGCUGGCGGCAGGCCUAACACAUGCAAGUCGAGCGGAUGAAGGGAGCUUGCUCCUGGAUUCAGCGGCGGACGGGUGAGUAAUGCCUAGGAAUCUGCCUGGUAGUGGGGGAUAACGUCCGGAAACGGGCGCUAAUACCGCAUACGUCCUGAGGGAGAAAGUGGGGGAUCUUCGGACCUCACGCUAUCAGAUGAGCCUAGGUCGGAUUAGCUAGUUGGUGGGGUAAAGGCCUACCAAGGCGACGCUCCGUAACUGGUCUGAGAGGAUGAUCAGUCACACUGGAACUGAGAAACGGUCCAGACUCCUACGGGAGGCAGCAGUGGGGAAUAUUGGACAAUGGGCGAAAGCCUGAUCCAGCCAUGCCGCGUGUGUGAAGAAGGUCUUCGGAUUGUAAAGCACUUUAAGUUGGGAGGAAGGGCAGUAAGUUAAUACCUUGCUGUUUUGACGUUACCAACAGAAUAAGCACCGGCUAACUUCGUG
This 484-nucleotide ribosomal RNA is filed under the name uncultured bacterium. RNAcentral describes it as "partial 16S ribosomal RNA". It matches the Rfam family "Bacterial small subunit ribosomal RNA", at positions 30 to 507 of the family's 1533-position model. The record is from RNAcentral.